AGCGAACGCUGGCGGCAGGCUUAACACAUGCAAGUCGAGCGGGCACUUCGGUGUCAGCGGCAGACGGGUGAGUAACACGUGGGAACGUACCCUUCGGUUCGGAAUAACGCUGGGAAACUAGCGCUAAUACCGGAUACGCCCUUUUGGGGAAAGGUUUACUGCCGAAGGAUCGGCCCGCGUCUGAUUAGCUAGUUGGUGGGGUAAUGGCCUACCAAGGCGACGAUCAGUAGCUGGUCUGUGAGGAUGAUCAGCCACACUGGGACUGAGACACGGCCCAGACUCCUACGGGAGGCAGCAGUGGGGAAUAUUGGACAAUGGGCGCAAGCCUGAUCCAGCCAUGCCGCGUGAGUGAUGAAGGCCUUAGGGUUGUAAAGCUCUUUUGUCCGGGACGAUAAUGACGGUACCGGAAGAAUAAGCCCCGGCUAACUUCGUG
This 433-nucleotide ribosomal RNA is filed under the name uncultured bacterium. RNAcentral describes it as "partial 16S ribosomal RNA". It matches the Rfam family "Bacterial small subunit ribosomal RNA", at positions 29 to 507 of the family's 1533-position model. The record is from RNAcentral.